This is a long non-coding RNA of Perognathus longimembris pacificus (Pacific pocket mouse), 125 nucleotides long. RefSeq lists it as uncharacterized. The record is from RefSeq and is a predicted model, not a curated record. Lineage: Eukaryota; Metazoa; Chordata; Mammalia; Rodentia; Heteromyidae. The transcript is spliced from 3 exons.
CCCAGAUCCCCAUCGCCCCUGAGCUGACCCGGCCCUGCAGACUCCUGAAAUCAUGGACAAGCACAGCAUGCAAACGGGAACAAAUUUCCCCGUGGGACUUCCCCCCCAGUAUCCACCGGCCCCAU